CAUUCACGGAGAGUUUGAUCCUGGCUCAGGACGAACGCUGGCGGCGUGCUUAACACAUGCAAGUCGAACGAUGAAGCCACUUCGGUGGUGGAUUAGUGGCGAACGGGUGAGUAACACGUGGGCAAUCUGCCCUUCACUCUGGGACAAGCCCUGGAAACGGGGUCUAAUACCGGAUAACACUCUGUCCCGCAUGGGACGGGGUUGAA
RNAcentral lists this ribosomal RNA (206 nucleotides) under Streptomyces parvus. RNAcentral describes it as "partial 16S ribosomal RNA". It matches the Rfam family "Bacterial small subunit ribosomal RNA", at positions 1 to 205 of the family's 1533-position model. Lineage: Bacteria; Bacillati; Actinomycetota; Actinomycetes; Kitasatosporales; Streptomycetaceae. The record is from RNAcentral.